This 23-nucleotide microRNA is filed under the name Pristionchus pacificus. Its description in RNAcentral is "ppc-miR-8240-3p". The record is from miRBase by way of RNAcentral. Lineage: Eukaryota; Metazoa; Nematoda; Chromadorea; Rhabditida; Neodiplogasteridae.
UUUGUUCGCUUCGCUCGCACAGA